RNAcentral lists this ribosomal RNA (464 nucleotides) under uncultured Klebsiella sp. RNAcentral's name for it is "bacterial SSU rRNA". It matches the Rfam family "Bacterial small subunit ribosomal RNA", at positions 338 to 795 of the family's 1533-position model. The record is from RNAcentral. Lineage: Bacteria; Pseudomonadati; Pseudomonadota; Gammaproteobacteria; Enterobacterales; Enterobacteriaceae.
CCUACGGGUGGCUGCAGUGGGGAAUAUUGCACAAUGGGCGCAAGCCUGAUGCAGCCAUGCCGCGUGUGUGAAGAAGGCCUUCGGGUUGUAAAGCACUUUCAGCGGGGAGGAAGGCGUUAAGGUUAAUAACCUUGUCGAUUGACGUUACCCGCAGAAGAAGCACCGGCUAACUCCGUGCCAGCAGCUGCGGUAAUACGGAGGGUGCAAGCGUUAAUCGGAAUUACUGGGCGUAAAGCGCACGCAGGCGGUCUGUCAAGUCGGAUGUGAAAUCCCCGGGCUCAACCUGGGAACUGCAUUCGAAACUGGCAGGCUAGAGUCUUGUAGAGGGGGGUAGAAUUCCAGGUGUAGCGGUGAAAUGCGUAGAGAUCUGGGGGAAUACCGGGGGCGAAGGCGGCCCCCGGGACAAAGACUGACGCUCAGGUGCGAAAGCGUGGGGAGCAAACAGGAUUAAUACCCCAGUAGUC